CCACAUAUAAUAUAAUCAUGGUAUCACAGCACAGAUAGUUGUAUUGUGUGUGCCUUGUAUCAUGAGAGGUAAUGAUUUGAAUACCAAAUAUGACUCUAGCAAAAAGAUGUUAAAAUAAUAUGCUAGUCAGAAGUCAUACCAUGUCCGUGACGAUCAUCAGGUGUUGGAUAGCAACUCAUAGAGAGCUGGUGAAGAAAUAGGUAUACAAAUUCCGUUGGAUCUGCAACUGCAAAGUCCUUGAAAUAUUGUAUGAAUCUUCAUCUUCUAGCUCACUGUAAUAUCCUGAACCCGAGUCUCGUCAAUGGUGCUUUAGUUCAAUCAUGAAGGUCGUUGAGUCCCCUAAGAUGUAGAGUCCUGAACUUGAAGAUUCUAUUUCCAUCAUCUUCAUAACCUUCUCUUUUGAAGUAACUCUAAGCAACCAAAUUGGCUUGUCCCUCGUAACAGAGCCAAAAACAUCCAGUUGGAAUCUAAAUACCCGACAAGUACUAAGUACUGAAUUGUCUUUAGGUCAGGGUAUCAGAAUCCGCACAAUCUGCUUUCAA
RNAcentral lists this long non-coding RNA (542 nucleotides) under Daucus carota (carrot). RNAcentral describes it as "long non-coding RNA (DCAR_LNC006271)". The record is from RNAcentral. Lineage: Eukaryota; Viridiplantae; Streptophyta; Magnoliopsida; Apiales; Apiaceae.